Molecule: small nuclear RNA, 164 nt
Filed under: Pygoscelis adeliae (Adelie penguin)
Lineage: Eukaryota; Metazoa; Chordata; Aves; Sphenisciformes; Spheniscidae
Description: U1 spliceosomal RNA
Rfam family: U1 spliceosomal RNA
About the family: U1 is a small nuclear RNA (snRNA) component of the spliceosome (involved in pre-mRNA splicing). Its 5' end forms complementary base pairs with the 5' splice junction, thus defining the 5' donor site of an intron.
Source: Rfam by way of RNAcentral
CUAAGCACCUAGCAAGGGAGUCACCAUGACCAGGCAGGUGGUUUUCCCAGGGCGAGGCUCAUCCCCUGCACUCCGGGUGUGCUGACCCCUGCGAUUUCCCCAAAUGCAGGAAACUCAACUGCAUAAUUUGUGGUAGUGGGGGACUGCGUUUGCGCUCUCCCCUA